CGGGGUGCAGCAGGCGCGAAAACUUUACAAUGCUGGAAACAGCGAUAAGGGGACCUCGAGUGCCAGGUUACAAAUCUGGCUGUCGUGAUGCCUAAAAAGCAUUGCAUAGCAAGGGCCGGGCAAGACCGGUGCCAGCCGCCGCGGUAACACCGGCGGCUCGAGUGGUAACCGUUAUUAUUGGGUCUAAAGGGUCUGUAGCCGGCCGGAUAAGUCUCUUGGGAAAUCCAGCAGCUCAACUGUUGGGCUUUCAGGAGAUACUGUCUGGCUCGAGGCCGGGAGAGGUGAGAGGUACUUCAGGGGUAGGGGUGAAAUCUUGUAAUCCUUGAAGGACCACCAGUGGCGAAGGCGUCUCACCAGAACGGACCUGACGGCAAGGGACGAAAGCUAGGGGCACGAACCGGAUUAGAUACCCGGGUAGUCCUAGCCGUAAACGAUACUCGCUAGGUGUCGGCCACGGUGCGACCGUUGUCGGUGCCGUAGGGAAGCCGUGAAGCGAGCCACCUGGGAAGUACGGCCGCAAGGCUGAAACUUAAAGGAAUGGCGGGGGAGCAC
This 552-nucleotide ribosomal RNA is filed under the name uncultured archaeon. RNAcentral describes it as "bacterial SSU rRNA". It matches the Rfam family "Archaeal small subunit ribosomal RNA", at positions 326 to 879 of the family's 1478-position model. The record is from RNAcentral.